AUGGAUUCUCAGGCUCUAGUUGCUCCCCAGAAAAGCCUCAGCAAGUCAUUUUACCCUUUGCCUCUCACUCUACAUGGGUCUUUUCGAGAAUAUCUUAAUGAAAUAUUUCCUCAUCUCUGCGGACAAAGAGAUUUUUAUUGUGGGGGUGUCCCAUUAUUUUCCAUCUCAGGGACUCCUCCUUCAUUGUUUCCUUUUCUCUUCUGCUUCUCUUUCAUGGCUGCGCGUUUCUUCUUCCAGUGUUGCGGGCUAGGUCAGCAGCUGCAGGAGAACUUGAUUAGUGCCUUGCCUCAGUGCAGAUGCAUUUCCCUGACAGCAUCGAUCCUGGGUGCUUUCGCUUUGCAGGCAGCUCCACAGAGGAGGAGCUUGUACUGCAAAGGAGGUGGACUGUUGUCUGUUCAAGGCUCCAGAUGUGACCAGCCACUGCAAAAUGGUAAGUUGUUUAUCAGCAUUCUACACUGGGAACUGGCACCUGUAAUUUUACUCUUAUUUUGCAUCAGCAUUAAUAAAACACUAAAAAAUGACCAAGCGAAGGUUUUGUGUAAUCACACACACACCUUCAGGGUGAGUUGCCCUGUCGGCUGUCUGUCGUCCUUAAGGUGCCAGCUACAGCAAGCAGCUUCCUUCUCUGUUGUCUGCGUAGCUGCUAUGAGCCUGCUUGGACAGGGAGUUCUGCUGAUAGCUGGACCUGGAAAAUAAUGGUGAAAUGUUGUUCUGGCAGCUUUUAAAGAAUCGAUUGUUGAUCCAUUUUGAUAAUGCAAAUACAAUCUUUUUCUUUCAUUCUUUUCCCUUCUUUUCUUUCUUCCCCCUUAUUCCUUGUUAAUAGUUGUCUGCAGCAAAAAAAAAAAAAAAAAAAAAAAAAAAAAAAGCUCCUUGUCCACCACAGUCUGGAAUGAAGAUUUAAGAAAUAAACAUAUUUGAAUCAUGUGACAACAAUUAACCACUUUGUUGAGCCAGAGAUUCCACUGCACCUUUACCUCCUCUUUUUAACCCCAGGGCUCUGUUCCAUCCUGCCUACGGUUUUUCUAGCUGCCUGCUUCAGCCUGCUCCCAUAUUACCAGUGGUUUAAGAAAUAUGACAAGCUACCUUCUGCUUUCUGGCACUUUAACAACGCAGAUUCUUGGAACUUAACUUUUGGUUGACUGCUGAUUUCUAACCCUAUAUGGCAACAGACUGUAAUGUGUUACUGAUAAAAAGUCAACCCAGGAUAGAAGUUUGCUUUUUUAAAAAGUUUCUUUUCUUUGAUCCUGUAAAAUGAUUUCCUACUCAGAUGCCUGUAAACAGGUCACUUUUUAAAAAAUCUUUUUCUGCAAGGUCUUUACAUACCUGUUAAAGGGAGACAAAUGUGGAAACUAAGGAGCAGAGGGUUUAAGGGAGUCAAGCUGGGAUCACAGAGUGAGUCACUUCCAAGUUCAAGUUGGGACUCAGUGUUCCCGACGGGUUAAUGGUCAGCUCAAUAUGUUUGAUAGUACUUUGGGGGUUAAAGCUUGAUAAAAUUCUCCUUUCUGGUUUAACUUGGGUUUUGACUAGUUUGGUUUCAGUUUCUUAUUCAUAGCAAUUAAACGUGUAUUGAUACGUUAAAAUAACCCCAAGACCAAAGACAGUCUAGAUAAGGUCAAGCAGGCUCUCUAAUUGCUGUUCCCUGAAGCUUAGAGUGCUAAGAGUACACAGCAAAACCUAGUGCUAUCUUUAUUUCCCUGAGUUAGUUCUUAAAUUGUCUUUAGAGUCAGUGAUGGUCAAAAUGUUUAUAUUCAUCCAAAUAACUUACUGUAAAACAAAUCUUACACCUAGCAGUUCACCCAUUGAUCAAUGUUAGGAAAGUCUCUUAUCAAAUAUGCAGAAAGGCUGUGAAAUGUGUAGGUACGUGGAAGGACAAAGAGAUGGGGAGUGGUUAUAUCCCUGCUCUAAAGGAAGUGAGAUCUCAUGCAUGACCCACCAGAUUAGAGUGACCAUGGUGCCCUAAUGAGGGCCAUAUCAGGACCUAUUAAUGUUUCAUAACUAUGGGAUCCAUUGUUAAGAGAGGCCUCUUCAACAGAGUUUGCGGGUUUGACCCCAGUCAUCUGGAUGUCAAUUCAUUUUAAAAGGCUACUUUUUAAAAUUGUGGAAAACCUUCAUCAGAAGUCUCAAAGGUAAGUUCUUUAAUGGAAAAUAUUUUCUAUUAUUUAUUUUUGUUUUAUUUAAAUUAAUUGACUAAUUUUAAAGGAAUAAGGUGAUACUCUUAAAAGCUGGACCCAAAAGAUCCUUGUG
Molecule: long non-coding RNA, 2244 nt
Filed under: Sus scrofa (pig)
Lineage: Eukaryota; Metazoa; Chordata; Mammalia; Artiodactyla; Suidae
Description: lncRNA (ENSSSCG00045037311.1)
Source: RNAcentral